Molecule: ribosomal RNA, 492 nt
Filed under: uncultured bacterium
Lineage: Bacteria
Description: partial 16S ribosomal RNA
Rfam family: Bacterial small subunit ribosomal RNA
Source: RNAcentral
AGUGAACGCUGGCGGUAGGCCUAACACAUGCAAGCCGAACGGCAGCACAGUAAGAGCUUGCUCUUACGGGUGGCGAGUGGCGGACGGGUGAGGAAUACAUUGGAAUCUACUUUUUCGUGGGGGAUAACGUAGGGAAACUUACGCUAAUACCGCAUACGACCUACGGGUGAAAGCAGGGGAUCUUCGGACCUUGCGCGAUUGAAUGAGCCGAUGUCGGAUUAGCUAGUUGGCGGGGUAAAGGCCCACCAAGGCGACGAUCCGUAGCUGGUCUGAGAGGAUGAUCGGCCACACUGGAACUGAGACACGGUCCAGACUCCUACGGGAGGCAGCAGUGGGGAAUAUUGGACAAUGGGCGCAAGCCUGGUCCAGCCAUACCGCGUGGGUGAAGAAGGCCUUCGGGUUGUAAAGCCCUUUUGUUGGGAAAGAAAAGCAGCAGGUUAAUACCCCGCUGUUCUGACGGUACCCAAAGAAUAAGCACCGGCUAACUUCGUG